GCCUCCUUCAGUUUUCCAUCUGUAAGGUACCACUGUAUUGGGUGCUUGCUAUUUGUGGAGCAAAAAGAAUGCUGAAGCAAGAAGGCAGCCUCGAAGGGGUAGGCAAGAGAUAUUUCCU
Molecule: long non-coding RNA, 118 nt
Filed under: Sus scrofa (pig)
Lineage: Eukaryota; Metazoa; Chordata; Mammalia; Artiodactyla; Suidae
Description: lncRNA (ENSSSCG00040064149.1)
Source: RNAcentral